This 385-nucleotide ribosomal RNA is filed under the name uncultured bacterium. Its description in RNAcentral is "bacterial SSU rRNA". It matches the Rfam family "Bacterial small subunit ribosomal RNA", at positions 370 to 772 of the family's 1533-position model. The record is from RNAcentral.
AAUGGGGGAAACCCUGAUGCAGUAACGCCGCGUGAGUGAUGAAGGCCUUCGGGUUGUAAAGCUCUGUCUUCAGGGACGAUAAUGACGGUACCUGAGGAGGAAGCCACGGCUAACUACGUGCCAGCAGCCGCGGUAAUACGUAGGUGGCAAGCGUUGUCCGGAAUUAUUGGGCGUAAAGGAUGCGUAGGUGGUCCUUUAAGUGGGAUGUGAAAUCCCUGGGCUUAACCCAGGAAUUGCAUUCCAAACUGGAGGACUAGAGUGCAGGAGAGGAGAGUAGAAUUCCUAGUGUAGCGGUGAAAUGCGUAGAUAUUAGGAGGAAUACCAGUAGCGAAGGCGGCUCUCUGGACUGUAACUGACACUGAGGCACGAAAGCGUGGGGAGCAAA